RNAcentral lists this ribosomal RNA (431 nucleotides) under uncultured bacterium. RNAcentral describes it as "partial 16S ribosomal RNA". It matches the Rfam family "Bacterial small subunit ribosomal RNA", at positions 29 to 507 of the family's 1533-position model. The record is from RNAcentral.
AACGAACGCUGGCGGCAGGCUUAACACAUGCAAGUCGAGCGCCCCGCAAGGGGAGCGGCAGACGGGUGAGUAACGCGUGGGAACGUACCUUUUGGUUCGGAACAACUCCGGGAAACUGGAGCUAAUACCGGAUAAGCCCUAACGGGGAAAGAUUUAUCGCCGAAAGAUCGGCCCGCGUCUGAUUAGCUAGUUGGUGAGGUAACGGCUCACCAAGGCGACGAUCAGUAGCUGGUCUGAGAGGAUGAUCAGCCACACUGGGACUGAGACACGGCCCAGACUCCUACGGGAGGCAGCAGUGGGGAAUAUUGGACAAUGGGCGCAAGCCUGAUCCAGCCAUGCCGCGUGAGUGAUGAAGGCCUUAGGGUUGUAAAGCUCCUUUGUCCGGGAAGAUAAUGACUGUACCGGAAGAAUAAGCCCCGGCUAACUUCGUG